RNAcentral lists this ribosomal RNA (253 nucleotides) under uncultured bacterium. Its description in RNAcentral is "partial 16S ribosomal RNA". It matches the Rfam family "Bacterial small subunit ribosomal RNA", at positions 524 to 776 of the family's 1533-position model. The record is from RNAcentral.
UACGUAGGGUGCGAGCGUUAAUCGGAAUUACUGGGCGUAAAGGGUGCGCAGGCGGUCCCGCAAGUCAGGCGUGAAAUCCCCGGGCUUAACCUGGGAAUGGCACUUGAAACUACGGGACUAGAGUGUGGCAGAGGGAGGUGGAAUUCCACGUGUAGCGGUGAAAUGCGUAGAUAUGUGGAGGAACACCAAUGGCGAAGGCAGCCUCCUGGGUCAACACUGACGCUCAUGCACGAAAGCGUGGGGAGCAAACAGG